CCUACGGGGGGCAGCAGUGGGGAAUAUUGCACAAUGGGGGAAACCCUGAUGCAGCGACGCCGCGUGAGUGAAGAAGUAUUUCGGUAUGUAAAGCUCUAUCAGCAGGGAAGAAAAUGACGGUACCUGAUUAAGAAGCUCCGGCUAACUACGUGCAAGCAGCCGCGGUAAUACGGAGGGGGCAAGCGUUAUCCGGAUUUACUGGGUGUAAGGGGAGCGUAGACGGCAGGACAAGUCUGGAGUGAAAUGCCGGGGCUUAACCCCGGAACUGCUGUGGAAACUGUGCAGCUAGAGUGCAGGAGAGGUAAGUGGAAUUCGUAGUGUAGCGGUGAAAUGCGUAGAUAUUAGGAGGAACACCAGUGGCGAAGGCGGCUUACUGGACUGUAACUGACGUUGAGGCUCGAAAGCGUGGGGAGCAAACAGGAUUAGAUACCCCGGUAGUC
This 440-nucleotide ribosomal RNA is filed under the name uncultured bacterium. RNAcentral's name for it is "partial 16S ribosomal RNA". It matches the Rfam family "Bacterial small subunit ribosomal RNA", at positions 338 to 795 of the family's 1533-position model. The record is from RNAcentral.